This 480-nucleotide ribosomal RNA is filed under the name uncultured Rhodoferax sp. RNAcentral's name for it is "bacterial SSU rRNA". It matches the Rfam family "Bacterial small subunit ribosomal RNA", at positions 903 to 1382 of the family's 1533-position model. The record is from RNAcentral. Lineage: Bacteria; Pseudomonadati; Pseudomonadota; Betaproteobacteria; Burkholderiales; Comamonadaceae.
UUAAAGGUAAUUGACGGGACCCGCACAAGCGGUGGAUGAUGUGGUUUAAUUCGAUGCAACGCGAAAAACUUACCCACCUUUGACAUGUACGGAACCCUUUAGAGAUAGAGGGGUGCUCGAAAGAGAGCCGUAACACAGGUGCUGCAUGGCUGUCGUCAGCUCGUGUCGUGAGAUGUUGGGUUAAGUCCCGCAACGAGCGCAACCCUUGUCAUUAGUUGCUACAUUCAGUUGGGCACUCUAAUGAGACUGCCGGUGACAAGCCGGAGGAAGGUGGGGAUGACGUCAAGUCCUCAUGGCCCUUAUAGGUGGGGCUACACACGUCAUACAAUGGCUGGUACAAAGGGUUGCCAACCCGCGAGGGGGAGCCAAUCCCAUAAAGCCAGUCGUAGUCCGGAUCGUAGUCUGCAACUCGACUACGUGAAGUCGGAAUCGCUAGUAAUCGUGGAUCAGAAUGUCACGGUGAAUACGUUCCCGGGUCUU